GUUAUCUACUUGCUAGGAAUCUCUGUCUGCAAUGAAGUUCCUCAUCACAGUUCUGUUUUUGCUAACUUGUGAUGACGAAUUCUAAGCACUGGAACCUGUUGGCUUGUAAUCGUUCCGCCGUGACUCCUCCCUCCACACCAAAGUUAAUCAGCUUGCUUCCCUUUCUCCUGAUCCCUGUCUCUUGCUGGUCAUGCUUUCACUUUGCCCAUGUCACCCAUUUAGAGGUCAAACAGGAUCUCAGAGAAUGAACGAGGAUUUUUGCGGCCCUUUGUCAGAUAAGUGGGAAAUUGAUUACGUGAGGAUGUUCUGCGGGGGUUAAUUCUCAAAUGCUAGAGACAAGGGGGAAGCAUGAGUGAGGUCAGGAGGAUCAGGUAAAGGCAGGGUGCUCUCUCUCUCUCUCUCUCUCUCUCUCUCUCUCUCUCUCUCUCUCUCUCUGUCUAAAUUAAACUGUGUGCUUCACGAGUCUGUCUCUCUUAAGGAUGAGGCAGGGGCAAGCCAAAAGUCCUUAAUUACGCGGGGCCCUAAUCUGAGGGGUUUGGGUUAGAGAGCUGGAUCAGGGCCUGACUUUUUCUCCAGUUGUCUGAAAGGAGACACACAGUAGCGGGGCAGGGAGGACAUUUGCUAGACCACUAAACUUCACAAAAAGCCUGCCUUGUGGCACAGGCCCCCAGUUCUAGCUACACCUCAUGCUGCUGCGGAGAGUUCCCGAGUUCAAGAUAUGCCCAGGCUACAGAGUAAGUUCAAGGCCACCCUAGGCAACUUAGUGAGACUGUCUCAAAAUAGAAAAUAAGAAGAGGGCUGGAAAGAUAGUUUAGUGUUAGAUCCCGUACCUAGCACAUGUGGAAUCUUUAAGUUCAAUAUUCAGUACUAGAAAAAAGAAAAUCACACGAGGUUAAGGGUCAGGGACUGCAAUAGCCUGUAAGUGACUGCAUCAGGAUGGUAUAUCAGAGUCAUGGUUUUUCCUGUCACCUGCCAGGCACCUUGUAAACAUGUUUACACCCAGUCUCCUGAACCCUUUCCAGCUCGUCACAGCUCACAGUUUGUUUGUUUGUUUGUUUAUGUAUUUAUUUUUGCCUGGCAAUAAUUAUUUUAAUUUUUUUGCUUUAUUCUUAAGAUGACAAAUAAGUUUCAAGUUUAUUUCCUUUUUUGUUUGCUAUUUAAAUACAAAGUUACACCACAAAUAGGUACAACCAAGACAUUUUUAUCUCACAGUUACACCCUCCUGUCGGAUCCUCCUCCAAGCCUGACCACUGACUGGGCUAGCAGAGGGUUCGGGGGAGACUUUCUUAGGUAGCACCAUCAUGAGCCUGGGAGAUGGGGGUGUUGGGAACAAGGGUAGGGUCUUAUACCUGGCUCCUGAACCCCAGGCCCCUGGACUGAAGGUGAAUGGUGAGUCCUUCCCAGGGAGGGAGAAGGAAGCCACCUACUCUUGCUCUCACAGGUCAAAACCGAAGCAUCAUCCUGGUUCUCUGCCGGCUGCCAGGUACCCUAGUGCCAAACACAUCUGGUGCCUGAUGCUCGCAGGGGUCCUAGACUGACAGCUGACAGCAUCUUCAUGGGAGACCAGGAGUUCUGCCUUGACAGCAGGGUCCUGUCCAUUAUAGUAUUGGAUCAUUGCUACGAACUGAGAGUUUAAACAACGCUGAUUGGAUGUACCUGUGUGGGGCAGCGGACAGUGCCACUAAAUAGAAGAACUGGUUCCAAGUGGGCAUCUGGGUGUCCAGGAGAAUAGGGGCCCCUGUUCUCAACUCUUCUCGAUUCUCAGUGGUGUCUGGGUGCCUUGGAGUUUGAGAACCACAGCCUCUGUCCCAGCCCCUGCUGUCUCUCACCUGGAGAAACAUGGACUGGGACCCCUAUCUUAGACUGAGUUUCACCUCCCCUGAACAGUGUGUUGGUGUCCCACAAGCCUGACACCCCAGCAUUGAAGAAGGAAUGCAGACCUCCAUUCCUGAGGCGGCAGAGAAUGUGACUAAGGUCACCAUGAGACUUAACAGGCAAUUCUCUCAUUCCUAUACCAGACAUCAGAAGUCGCUCUUUAACUGGUAAGAAGGACACAUGCUCCACUAUGUUCAUA
Molecule: long non-coding RNA, 2074 nt
Organism: Mus musculus (house mouse)
Lineage: Eukaryota; Metazoa; Chordata; Mammalia; Rodentia; Muridae
Product: predicted gene, 46559
Exons: 3
Source: RefSeq, a predicted model, not a curated record